This is a long non-coding RNA of Rhinopithecus roxellana (golden snub-nosed monkey), 468 nucleotides long. RefSeq lists it as uncharacterized. The record is from RefSeq and is a predicted model, not a curated record. NCBI's taxonomy places the organism in Eukaryota, Metazoa, Chordata, Mammalia, Primates, Cercopithecidae. The transcript is spliced from 3 exons.
ACCACCUCCUCCUGGCCCGCGGCCCUCAGCCGCCGGCGGCCCGCACCUGCCCCGGAACCGGGCAAGGCGGGUAGGGGUGGGGCGGGGAGGACCGGGCGCCAGGACCAGGCCCGCCGGGAGGCCACCGCGCGCACCCUCGGGGCCGAGGAUAGAGGGCGCAAGGACGUGGGCGCUUCAGGGCCCUGGCGAGGCCGCUAGCCCGGUGGCUUCCAAACCUGGAGGGAACUAUCAUCUCCUAUCGUGCUGUAGGCAAACUUUAGUGACAUGGUGGAAGCCACCAAAAAGAAUAUCUGAAGCAAUUCAUUAAAAUCUUGGCAGCCAGACCCCAGCUCCCGCUUUCCCUGAAAGCUCCCUUUAAUGAAGCUGAACCCUGUCCCAGCAAUUCCCUCCACAGAAGACCUACUGUCACCACCUCUGAAGAGGCUAAUUCCUGGAGGAACCAAGUCAGCCAAUCGAGAGUCCUGAAUA